This 1356-nucleotide ribosomal RNA is filed under the name uncultured bacterium. RNAcentral's name for it is "bacterial SSU rRNA". It matches the Rfam family "Bacterial small subunit ribosomal RNA", at positions 28 to 1381 of the family's 1533-position model. The record is from RNAcentral.
GACGAACGCUGGUGGCGUGCUUAACACAUGCUAGUCGAACGGAAAGGCCCUCGCUUGCUAGGGUGCUCGAUGUGGCGAACGUGGUGAGCUAACACGCUGGAGUGAUCAUGCCCAUGCUACUUCGCGGAUAAUGCUUGGAGAAACUGGCGUCUAAUACCGGAUAGGAGCCAUCUUUAGUGUGGUGGUUGGAAAGUUUUUUCGGUGUAAGAUGAGCUCGCGACCUAUCAGCUUGUUGGUGGGGUAAUGCCCUACCAAGGCGGCGACCGCUAGCCGGCCUGAGAGGGUGUACGGCCACAUUGGGACUGAGAUACGGCCCAUACUCCUACGGGAGGCAGCAUUGGGGAAUAUUGCUCAAUGGGCGCAAGCCUGAUGCAGCGACCCCGCGUGGGGGAUGAAGGCCUUCGGGUUGUAAACUCCUUUCUCUAGGGACCAAGCUUUUUGCGACGGUACCUAGAUAAGAAGCACCGGCUAACUACGUGCCAUCAGCCGCGGUAAUACGUAGGGUGCGAGCGUUGCCCGGAAUUACUGUCCGUAAAGGGCUCGUAGGUGGCUUGUCGCAUCGUCUGUGAAAUUCUGGGGCUUACCUCCCGGCGUGCACGCCAUACUGGCAUAACUUCGACUGCUGUAGGGGUAACUGGAAUUCCUGGUGUAGCGGUGAAAUGCGCAGAUAUCAGGAGGAACACCGAUGGCGAAGGCAGGUUACUGGGCAGUUACUGACGCUGAGGAGCGAAAGCAUGGGUAGCGAACAGGAUUAGAUACCCUGGUAGUCCAUGCCGUAAACGGUGGGCGCUAGGUGUGAGGGUCUUUCUACGACUUUCGUGCCGUAGCUAAACGCAUUAAGCGCCCCGCCUGGGGAGUACGGCCGCAAGGCUAAAACUCAAAGGAAUCGACGGGGGCCCGCACAAGCGGCGGAGCAUGUGGAUUAAUUCGAUGCAACGCGAAGAACCUUACCUGGGCUUGACAUACAUCAGAUCGCUGCAGAGAUGUAGUUUCCCUUUGUGGUUGGUGUACAGGUGGUGCAUGGUUGUCGUCAGCUCGUGUCGUGAGAUGUUGGGUUAAGUCCCGCAACGAGCGCAACCCUUGUCUUAUGUUGCCAGCAUUUGGUUGGGGACUCAUGAGAGACUGCCGGGGUUAACUCGGAGGAAGGUGGGGAUGACGUCAAAUCAUCAUGCCCCUUAUGUCCAGGGCUUCACACAUGCUACAAUGGUCGGUACAACGCGCUGCGACACUGUGAGGUGGAGCGAAUCGCUGAAAGCCGGCCUUAGUUCGGAUUGGGGUCUGCAACUCGACCCCAUGAAGUCGGAGUCGCUAGUAAUCGCAGAUCAGCAAUGCUGCGGUGAAUACGUUCCCGGGCCU